CAAAACCCACCUCACCCCCACCGAAACCCAACCCACAUCACCGCCUCAAACACCCACCACCACAGCCAAAAUCCACCUCACCGCCCCCAAAUCGACUUACCACCACCCAAAUCGGAGCCACCAGAUCAGAUCAGGGGAAAGGAAGCCCCUUUUCGCACAUUCAAGUCUCCCUUUCAACAAGAUCGGACAUGCAAGGCUCAGAAUUUUUUUUUUUUCCUAUGUAAAUAUCAG
This 231-nucleotide long non-coding RNA is filed under the name Lotus japonicus. Its description in RNAcentral is "long non-coding RNA (LJAP_LNC000327)". The record is from RNAcentral. Lineage: Eukaryota; Viridiplantae; Streptophyta; Magnoliopsida; Fabales; Fabaceae.